RNAcentral lists this ribosomal RNA (253 nucleotides) under uncultured prokaryote. RNAcentral's name for it is "partial 16S ribosomal RNA". It matches the Rfam family "Bacterial small subunit ribosomal RNA", at positions 525 to 777 of the family's 1533-position model. The record is from RNAcentral.
ACAGAGGGGGCAAGCGUUAUUCGGAAUUAUUGGGCGUAAAGGGCGCGUAGGCGGCAUGGCAAGUGGAAGGUGAAAUCCCUCGGCUCAACUGAGGAACUGCCUUCCAGACUGCUUUGCUUGAGGCCGGGAGAGGCGAGUGGAAUUCCCAGUGUAGCGGUGAAAUGCGUAGAUAUUGGGAGGAACACCAGUGGCGAAGGCGACUCGCUGGACCGGUACUGACGCUGAGGCGCGAAGGCAUGGGGAGCGAACGGGA